Molecule: long non-coding RNA, 339 nt
Filed under: Marmota monax (woodchuck)
Lineage: Eukaryota; Metazoa; Chordata; Mammalia; Rodentia; Sciuridae
Source: RNAcentral
UUGUAUUGUAUAAUGUUUAAGUCCGGCUACACAUACCUGUCUCCUCAAAUAGUAUCAUUUCUUUAUGGUAAAAAUAUUCAAAAUCCUUCUCCUUCUCCCUUUUUUGAAAUAUACAGCACAAUAUUAUUAUUUAUAGACACUCUACUAUGCAAUAGAACAACAGAACUACUUAUGCCCAUUGAACUUGAACUCAGAACCCAUUGAUCAACCUCUCCCCAUGCUUCCCUGCACUCGGCUUUCCCCAGCCCCUGGUAACCACCAUUCCACUCUUAACUUCUAUGAAGUGAACUUUUUAAUAUUCCACAUGAGUGAGACCCUGGAGUACUUGUCUUCCUGUGC